AACGACUCUCGGCAACGGAUAUCUUGGCUCUCGCAUCGAUGAAGAACGCAGCAAAAUGCGAUACUUGGUGUGAAUUGCAGAAUCCCGUGAAUCAUCGAGUUUUUGAACGCAAGUUGCGCCCGAAGCCUUUCGGYCGAGGGCACGUCUGCCUGGGUGUCACGC
Molecule: ribosomal RNA, 162 nt
Filed under: Platygyna hexandra
Lineage: Eukaryota; Viridiplantae; Streptophyta; Magnoliopsida; Malpighiales; Euphorbiaceae
Description: 5.8S ribosomal RNA
Rfam family: 5.8S ribosomal RNA
About the family: 5.8S ribosomal RNA (5.8S rRNA) is a component of the large subunit of the eukaryotic ribosome. It is transcribed by RNA polymerase I as part of the 45S precursor that also contains 18S and 28S rRNA.
Source: RNAcentral